Zingiber officinale is the source of this 76-nucleotide small nucleolar RNA. RefSeq annotates it as small nucleolar RNA Z199. The record is from RefSeq and is a predicted model, not a curated record. The transcript has a single exon. NCBI's taxonomy places the organism in Eukaryota, Viridiplantae, Streptophyta, Magnoliopsida, Zingiberales, Zingiberaceae.
CGAUCAUGUGAUGAGAAACUUCUGCAAUAAAGUAAUGAAGUGUUUCAUGAUUUUGGCUUAUAAGUCUCUGAUGAUG